Molecule: transfer RNA, 84 nt
Filed under: Paracoccus suum
Lineage: Bacteria; Pseudomonadati; Pseudomonadota; Alphaproteobacteria; Rhodobacterales; Paracoccaceae
Description: tRNA-Leu
Rfam family: tRNA
About the family: Transfer RNA (tRNA) molecules are approximately 80 nucleotides in length. Their secondary structure includes four short double-helical elements and three loops (D, anti-codon, and T loops).
Source: RNAcentral
GGGGGCGUGGCGAAAUGGUAGACGCGGUAGACUCAAACUCUGCUUCCGCAAGGAGUGCCGGUUCGAUCCCGGCCGCCCCUACCA